This 82-nucleotide transfer RNA is filed under the name Danionella translucida. It matches the Rfam family "tRNA". From Rfam's summary of the family: Transfer RNA (tRNA) molecules are approximately 80 nucleotides in length. Their secondary structure includes four short double-helical elements and three loops (D, anti-codon, and T loops). RNAcentral also lists the same sequence under 1 other name. The record is from Rfam by way of RNAcentral. Lineage: Eukaryota; Metazoa; Chordata; Actinopteri; Cypriniformes; Danionidae.
GUUGUCGUGGCCGAGUGGUUAAGGUGAUGGACUAGAAAUCCAUUGGGGUUACCCCGCGCAGGUUCAAAUCCUGCCGAUAACG